Molecule: long non-coding RNA, 1370 nt
Organism: Aethalodelphis obliquidens (Pacific white-sided dolphin)
Lineage: Eukaryota; Metazoa; Chordata; Mammalia; Artiodactyla; Delphinidae
Exons: 3
Source: RefSeq, a predicted model, not a curated record
GCAUGCAAACCUGAAGUUACAGCAUCAGUAAUGGGCGUGUUCAUUGUUCUUCAGAGAAGUUACUGUGUUUGUCUAAAGACUAAGAAGAAAGACGUACCUUUCCAACAUGGCAAAGCCGAGCAGAAGCAAAGCGGAGUUUAUCAGAUUGGCCGCCAGCUUCCAGCUGAGAUGGAAUUUCCUCCUCGCGGCCGGUGAGCAAAGCUAUGACCCUCUGGCACAGAGACAGCUUCGGAAAUCUCCCCUGGCUUUUGAAUUGUGCGUUUUCAGACAUCGUGAGCAGAGCAGGAAGCAUCCUCUUUUUCUCCAUCUCCCGACUGAGCUGGACCAAGAAAUGGGUUCUUCGGGGGCACCCGGAUUUAACCUUCAGGAAUAAGACUUGAUAAAGUCCCCACUGCGUGCAGAUGGUGGAAAGAGUAAAGCAGCGUCCGUUUUGCCAACUUUCUGGUCCAGUAGAGGGUCUUUCUGGGCCCAGGGGGUCCCAUCUGUCACAGCUGUGGUACAGACACAGCACAGGAGAGUCGCGGGGAGGAACAGUCACCACUGAGCCCCCCAGCCCCACGGAGGGGAUCAGUCGUUUCAGCAGAUGUCGUGCGUCCCUGCAAAGUCCCAAGCACCUUCCUGGGCACUGGACACACAGCCGUGGACAGACAGACAGACAGAGCCUGCAGCCCACAAACUCACACACCUAUCAGGGCAAGGAAUCCCUGCCCCAGGGCUGCCAGAUGCCCUUGCAGCGGGUACACAGGACAGGAAGAGUAGACAAGCCCUGUUCUAGACCGUUCUGCAAACACUGGGGCCCUUUGGAGGGUUGUGGCUGUACACAGCCAUAUAUGUGACCCCCAUUCGUCAUGAGGCUAUCCCCGCAGAUGAAGGUCAGCGCAGAGUUCGUGUGCAGCCACAGGAGGAAAGCCAGCUCUGUGGUUAGUGCUGUCGACUGAAAUAAUGCACAGCCUGAAAGUUGAGAGUUGUGUUUUAUUCGGUGGACAAACCCGAGGACUAAGGUCCGGGACACAGCAUCUCAGAUCACUCCGAGGGACGGCUCCGAAGAGGCCAGGUGGGGGCCGGGGUAGAUAGGAGCCGUUUUUGCAACAAAGACCAGGUAGUAGGAACAUCAAAAGAUGACUGUUAAUUAAAGAAAACCGGACAUCUCGAGGUAAAGAGUUUAGCGCUUUUCUACGUAUGGGAAGACGCAAGAGUCUGAGCUCUCUGGCAUCGUUCCUUUGAUGUGCUCCUCGGCUAUCUGGGGCCAGUAUCCUGCGUUUUCUCCUCCCGAGUCUCCUCAGGGUGCACGGCUGGGGGCGGCUGCAGCAGCUCAUUGCUAGAUGGGGGGCCUCCCGCCCGGAUCCUGAGCUCCCUCAGGGCUCACGGUC